This 430-nucleotide long non-coding RNA is filed under the name Ananas comosus (pineapple). RNAcentral describes it as "long non-coding RNA (ACOM_LNC042350)". Lineage: Eukaryota; Viridiplantae; Streptophyta; Magnoliopsida; Poales; Bromeliaceae. The record is from RNAcentral.
UUGAAACCCAACAUCAGGAUGCGUCAUGACGUUUGAUGAGUACCUGGAUAGGGUCGAGAUGACAAAGUGAUAGAUUAAGCUAGGAUCAGAAUGAUAAGACUAGCGAGACAAGUCUCACAUCGCCUAAUGAUCUUCGGCUGUGUGUGUUUAAGGCUGACGAGGACAUCAGGGCCUAAAUGGCUGACGAGAACAUCAGGGCCUAAAUGGAGGGAGUAUGUGAUCUUGGGCGGGAGAGUGUGUGACACCCCAAUAGUCCCACAUCGGAAGGAAAUAGUAUUAUUAUUGGGUUUAUAUAUGAGACUAUGGAUACUAGUAAUAAUAACUGGAAUUAAAUAUUUUGGGCUAGUGGUUUGAGCCCAACGAAUUAUUAUUGCUAGCGAGUUUCAGUCGUUACAGUUUGUAUUUAGAAAAGUUAAACCAAAUUUCUUAU